Molecule: ribosomal RNA, 718 nt
Filed under: uncultured Gammaproteobacteria bacterium
Lineage: Bacteria; Pseudomonadati; Pseudomonadota; Gammaproteobacteria
Description: bacterial SSU rRNA
Rfam family: Bacterial small subunit ribosomal RNA
Source: RNAcentral
AGAGUUUGAUCCUGGCUCAGAUUGAACGCUGGCGGUAUGCUUAACACAUGCAAGUCGAACGGAAACGAUGGUAGCUUGCUACCAGGCGUCGAGUGGCGGACGGGUGAGUAACGCGUAGGAAUCUGCCUGAUAGUGGGGGAUAGCCCAGAGAAAUCUGGAUUAAUACCGCAUAAUCUCUAUGGAGUAAAGGAGCCCUCUUCUUGAAAGGUUUCGCUAUCAGAUGAGCCUGCGUAAGAUUAGCUUGUUGGUGAGGUAAAAGCUCACCAAGGCGACGAUCUUUAGCUGGUCUGAGAGGAUGAUCGGCCACACUGGAACUGAGACACGGUCCAGACUCCUACGGGAGGCAGCAGUGGGGAAUAUUUGGACAAUGGGCGCAAGCCUGAUCCAGCAAUACCGCGUGUGUGAAGAAGGCCUGAGGGUUGUAAAGCACUUUCAAUUGUGAAGAAAAGCUAAUGGCUAAUACCCAUUAGCCUUGACGUUAACUUUAGAAGAAGCACCGGCUAACUCCGUGCCAGCAGCCGCGGUAAUACGGAGGGUGCAAGCGUUAAUCGGAAUUACUGGGCGUAAAGCGUGCGUAGGUGGUUUGUUAAGUUAGAUGUGAAAGCCCUGGGCUCAACCUAGGAACUGCAUUUAAAACUGGCAAACUAGAGUAUAGGAGAGGAAGGUGGAAUUUCAGGUGUAGCGGUGAAAUGCGUAGAUAUCUGAAGGAACAUCAAUG